RNAcentral lists this non-coding RNA (31 nucleotides) under Mus musculus (house mouse). Lineage: Eukaryota; Metazoa; Chordata; Mammalia; Rodentia; Muridae. The record is from RNAcentral.
UACAGUAAACCUCAAGAACUUGUUUGCCCUA